AACGCACAUUGCGCCCAUUAGUAUUCUAGUGGGCAUGCCUAUUCGAGCGUCAUUUCAACCCUUAAGCCUAGUUGCUUAGUGUUGGGAAUCUGCCCUGUAUUUAUAGGGCAGUUCCUUAAAGUGAUCGGCGGAGUUAGGGCAUACUCUAAGCGUAGUAAUAUUCUUCUCGCUUCUGUAGUUGUCCUGGCGGCUUGCCGUUAAACCCCUAUAUUUCUAGUGGUUGACCUCGGAUUAGGUAGGAAUACCCGCUGAACUUAAGCAUAUCAAUAAGCGGAGGAAAAGAAACCAACAGGGAUUGCCCUAGUAACGGCGAGUGAAGCGGCAACAGCUCAAAUUUGAAAUCUGGCCCUAGCGGUCCGAGUUGUAAUUUGUAGAGGAUGCUUUUGGUUAGGUGCCUUCUGAGUUCCCUGGAACGGGACGCCAGAGAGGGUGAGAGCCCCGUACGGUUGGACACCGAGCCUCUAUAUAGCUCCUUCGACGAGUCGAGUAGUUUGGGAAUGCUGCUCUAAAUGGGAGGUAAAUUUCUUCUAAAGCUAAAUACCGGCCAGAGACCGAUAGCGCACAAGUAGAGUGAUCGAAAGAUGAAAAGUACUUUGAAAAGAGGGUUAAAUAGCACGUGAAAUUGUUGAAAGGGAAGCGUUUGCGACCAGACUUUUUCCAGGCGGAUCAUCCGGUGUUCUCACCGGUGCACUUCGCCUGGUUUAGGCCAGCAUCGGUUCUCUUAGGGGGAUAAAGGCCUGGGGAACGUAGCUCCU
This 755-nucleotide ribosomal RNA is filed under the name Daldinia loculata. RNAcentral's name for it is "eukaryotic LSU rRNA". The stretch from base 222 to 755 matches the Rfam family "Eukaryotic large subunit ribosomal RNA", at positions 1 to 544 of the family's 3401-position model. Lineage: Eukaryota; Fungi; Ascomycota; Sordariomycetes; Xylariales; Hypoxylaceae. The record is from RNAcentral.